Molecule: long non-coding RNA, 1111 nt
Organism: Thunnus maccoyii (southern bluefin tuna)
Lineage: Eukaryota; Metazoa; Chordata; Actinopteri; Scombriformes; Scombridae
Exons: 3
Source: RefSeq, a predicted model, not a curated record
GGCUUCAGAACCAUGAAUGUAUAAAGAGAACUGUAUAAAGAUGAAUAAAGUUCACUUUAUACAUCCAUGUUCAAAGCCGGAGUCCACAAACCGAUCAAAAAAGUGGAUGCGUUCCAUUCAAGUCCAAUCUCCUUUUCUCUCUUUGUCUUCAACAGUGCAUGCAACGACUCAGCAAGCAGUGCGUGGGAGGACAGAGACCAUAUACAAUAAAGUAGCUGCUUGAAACUUUCAGCUUUAAGCAUAAAGGAUAUUGGAUUAUGCAUCCCAGUCCUUCUUGGUAAACUGAGACAUCCACCAUGGCCUUAAACAAUUCAGGGACAAGGCUGCUUCUGCAAAGUUCAUGUGAGGUUAUGAAUCAACUAUCCAUCCACCAGAACAACUCCAUUAAAAGUUACAGGAUUGGUUUUAAAUGACUUUAAAAUCUCCAACCUGGAAGGAUGACAGGAUACCGUAACGAACAUCCAAGCUGCUCAGGAGUGCUCUGAUGCUUUAUAGUUCAAUUUUGUAAUUUCUUUAUGUGGUUCAAGCAUUGGGAGGCUUUACUCUUAAGCAGAAAUGAAAGGGUUUCAUCCUAAAACUGUAAAGUUACAAAACAUGUAUUCAUUAUGCAGUCAAUAGUUGGUCAAAAUCAAACCAGUCUUGCACCAAUAAAACAUAAGAAAUUGUUAAAAACCCCUUUUUAAUUUAGAGUUGCCUCAUUAAAACACUGCAUUGUUCUGAUCCAAACAAGACUCCCCAGCUUGAAACACAGUUUAUAUAAUGCUGCAUUAAGCACACACUGUAUCUACAGCAGGCAUGAUAUCAACUGGCAGCGCUCAGCUGAAAGCAGCUGGCUGAUAAGACUUUCCCUUGUUCUACUGAUAAAAACCACAUAGCGGGAUUUGACCUCGCCAACAUGGCGGCAUAGUUUUGAUGUAGGCUGUCACAGGUUAGAGGUAGAUAAAGACUAGAAAUGUAUAUAAGCUUGCCUGCUCUCGAUAGAGAGAAUAUUGACAGUUUCUUGCCCAGAUGAAAUGCUGCAUAUAAACAGAGGAGAUUGUUAUCACAUUAUUUUGAGGAAGUUAGUCCCGUUAAUAAUUUAAUAGGCUGCAGGGAAACUGGCUAUUCUUGU